This is a long non-coding RNA of Ruditapes philippinarum (Manila clam), 3937 nucleotides long. RefSeq lists it as uncharacterized. NCBI's taxonomy places the organism in Eukaryota, Metazoa, Mollusca, Bivalvia, Venerida, Veneridae. The transcript is spliced from 2 exons. The record is from RefSeq and is a predicted model, not a curated record.
AUGUGUAGUGGAAUGCAAAAAUGGGGCUUCUUGACGUUGACGUCGUUAUCGAGAAAAUGCGAGAUCUUUGACGCCAUUUUUUCCUCGUUAUUUUUCCGUUCAACUGGCAGUAAAAACAGCGCUUAAUUAUAUAAUAAAUGACUUGUCAGCACAUGGGGUCCUGAUUCAUACAGAGUAAUCAACGGCGAAAAUAAUUUGCUACCGUUCAUCCUAUGACAGUGAGUAAAAUUAUCACGGGGAAAGAUUUUUACGAGGACCACUGAUUACGUCAUCUGACAUUGAUUGUUGAUAAAUUAUUGGUGAAUUGAUUCGAUGUUUUCGGUGUUUAAAAGUAUAUUUUACACCGACAAAGUCUGCUUUGACAAAACUUAUAUAAAACUGGAUUAUUCGGGUUAAGUGAGUAUGCAUUUUUUCUAGUAUUUUUGCUAAAAUAUGUAUUUUAUCGGAAAAUAAUUAUACCCGGAAGUAGAAACAAUUGCAGUUCCUGGACAACGGUUUGUUGAUAGCAACAUGGAAAAUGGCAGCCAAGUAAUUAUUUACUCAAAGCAAUUAAUACCAAAAUUUAUGUAAUUAAUCUCUAAGAUAAAACAAUCAUCAAAGUGAGGAAAUUCAAGAUUUUCAAGAAUUUUAAUCUUUUACUUUCUUCCAUGCAUACUGUACAGUACAGUACAUGUAUGAGAUUAAAAAUUUGAACUGUUGAAAACUUGUAUUGAUCAACACUGACAACAGUAUGUGAUUAAUAGAUUUCUCAAAAGUGAAAAUAUAUUUCUGGCUACAUUGUUUGAGCUGUUUAAAAUUUUCAGACCUUUAAAAUUAAAAAUAUGGAGAUGGUGCAGUUUCCAUAAUUUUUCAUAACCAGAUUCAAUAAACGGAGGGUAUUGAAUGAGUGCAUAGCCUCUACUGUAGCCUGAGUCUAGGUACAAUUAAUAUUGAAUUUAUUGAAUAAGUUGAAUAAAAUUAUAUAAUGCAAGCACAAUAUUAUUUUAUUCAAUGAGUUAUAUGUAAUAAGUUAAGAACCCACACAAAUAUAAUAUUCUAUUAAUCACAUACCUAACUUUAAGACUGUUUAAAAUUAAAAGGAAUAUUUUUCCAUUGACACAACUUGACUACUGUAUAGUGUAACGCUUACACUUAGCGUGUAUUUACAUUAUAUUUGCAUAUGAUGUCACAUCAAAAUAUCAUUUUUUUUUUGUUCACACUUAGAAGCACAUUAAUGAAUACCUAAGCCUGAACUUGUAUGAAAUAAUUUAACUAAUAUUUUAAUAAAAAAAGGUCACAGCCCUAUGACAAGCUUUCUAGAAAGGAUGCAUAUUAAAGGAAUCAUAUUGGCAGGUGCCUUUUUAGCAAAACUUGAGGACCUCAGGAAAAUCUGACUUUUAUAUAAAUUGUAAUAACUGUAUAACAAUAAUACAUAAUUUAUAAAUUUAACUACUGUACAUUUCAGGCACUUCACCAUGCACUCUUGAUGUAAAGUACUCCAACCCUUGGAAUUAUGUCCAACAAGUGCAUAAUCCCCAUCAUUCUCAACAGGUUGGUCCAAUAUGUUUUAGGACACCAAGAAAGUUCCAUGUGUUUGGUUUUUGUGCAGAGGGAUCAGGACUCCAUGGAAGUGUCAGUCUCAACAUGUUUGGCACUUUUAUAUCUGGAAAGUGAAGAAACAAUGCAACAGGUUGCCUCAGUGUACUGUCCUGCAGGGCACAAUAUUCCACAGCUUAUAGAUGAUCCAGAAAAUCCCUAGGGUUAAACCCCUCAAACAGUUAUCCAAAUACCACCAUUUGUGUGCAAGUACAAUGGAGCCAGGUGUUAUAACAUGUAAAUAAUAUAUUAACUCUGUGCAGGGUAAAAUGUAUUUACUGAAACAAAUGCCUCCCAGAGGUCUUUAACCUGAAGUACAGUUCUUCACAUCUGACAUACCUAAAAUACUGUGUGGCCAAAACCGGUUAUCCCGAAAUCGGAAAAUAGAAAUAAAGUUGGAUAUUGACAUUAUGUGAAAAAAGGUGGAAAGAGAAAGAGCAGUCUAUUACUCUUGAGUAUAAUUGGAGUUCCUAUAACUUAGUGGUCAUGUAUGGACUGUCAUUAUUUUCUUCAUUUCAAAUAUAGCUUAUGAUACAAGUAGAAGUGAGAUGAUUGUCUUUAUGCUUCAUAAGAUAAGACUGCAAGUGUUGUCUUGCAUAACUGCUGCUCUAAGGACUAAUGCUAUAUUAACAAGUGUGUGGAACUGUGGAUCAUUGAUGUUAUUAAUAAGUUAUGAUAUUAAUUAAUGGGUGCCUAUAUUAUUUUUGGAUGUCAGUUUACCAGUUAUUAAUUUCCAUCAUUUUUACAAAAUGUUUAUGAGAUUAAGUUUAUUGUCAUUUGUCAUUUUACUUAAAGUUAUACACUUCUGUUGAACCUAUGAAUGUUAUGAAUUGAUAACUGUAAUCUUAUCUUAAGCUUUGAUCUAGAUUGAAAAUGACUUUAUGAAAAUGUAAAGUAAUAUUAAGCUUCAGUAAUUGUUGUCAAAUUUUAAACAUUUUAUAGUUGUAGAAUAUGAAAAAUACUUUAUCUAUAACAAUUAUAGGUCAGUUGAAUUUUUAUGUUGAUAUUAGUGUAGAAUCACAUUGUAAGAUUAUCACAAAUUCUAAAAAAUGUUAAAAGAAGCAGCAAAAUCAAAGAAUAGUCCAUGUUAGCUAGGCAACCAAAAUUCCCUUCAGUUGGGAAGGAUUUUUAACAGGUGCAUUAUAAUAAAAAUACUUUAUAUUUGAUCUAAUGUAACUCUAUAAUUAAAAAAUAAUCAUCACUAAGUUGUAAAAUAUCAAAAUAUAGAACAUUAAAUGUACCUAAAGAUAAAUGUUGUGAACAUGAUAUUAGAAGGAAUGAUGAGGCAGGCUGUUCUCUGAAUACCGGAAGUUCAGUUACACAUUAUUUGUGGUAUUGUUUUCAAUUUUUUAUAAUAGCACACAUUGCUUUUUUGUAACUUAAUCUCCUGUAUGACUGUAAAAAUUUGGAAAUUUAGAAAUUAAUUAAAGAUAAUAAAUAUUCAUUGGUUGCUAAGCAACCUUAUUAAAUACAGAGACAGUUUUAAGUAAUUAAACUUUUUUGUAGGAAUUGUCUUUAUGUCAUUUAAAUCAUGCUAGUCAAUUCAAAGUCCUUACUUUGUUGUGAAACAGUGUAGUUAACACCACAUGUUCCUUAAAAUACUUUUAUGAAAUUAUGUAUAUUAUCUAUUUAAUUCAAAACCUAUAGUAAAGUGAGUUUUAGGAUGCUUUGAUCCAAGAACUAUUAUUCAGAUUGUAUUUGCAGUUUUAAUAGUUGUAAUUUGUUUUUGUAAUCAUGCUGCUUUGUUCAUGGUAUUUUGAGAUCUAUUUUAAUCAAACUUAAAAUUUGUAAAAUUUAAAAGAAAAUUAUGGAAUAUAUUGUGGUUGCUUGGCAACACUGAUUAAUUGUUACUAAUUGCUUAGGUAUUAUGUAAAUCAGUUAUACAGCAGAUAGAUAUAUUUAUGUAAUAUGGAAAUUCACAGUGAUUUGAUCAAAUGCUUAUUGGUUAUGGCAAAAAUACUGAGUUUCUGCUAAAAUUAACAUGGCCUACUAUCACUAGUCAAGUGUACAGAACAUGUAAUGCAUGUAAUAUCUUGAAUGGAAAAUUAUUUAAAAGUAAAUAAUAGGCAUUGUUUGUAAUUUUAUUGAAAAUUAAUUUAUUGCUGCUGCUUUGUUAGCUAUAUUUUACCAAGAAAUUUGUUUACUUACAAAAUAAAUUACAAAAAUUUAGAAUAUUCCAUGGUUGCUAGGUAACAGAAUAUAGUUUCCUUCAUGUUGUAUUUGUGUUAUUAUGCCCUUUAUUUAGUAUUACUACCUUUGAUGAUGUUAUACUAAAGUCAUCUUUCAUUUACUGUUGUAUUAAACUGUUGUCUGCUGUCAGAGUAAAUAUCUGAAUAAAGUUAAUAAAUGAAUGAUAAAUGGA